This 580-nucleotide small RNA is filed under the name chicken gut metagenome. The record is from RNAcentral.
AUGUCGGUGGUACAGUAUUCUAGUCAGACUCUUCCAUCUCUGAAGACGGGGUUAAACGACCGUCAAAGGGCACAUCGAUGAAGUUUCUUGUGUUGGCUUUGGUUGCCCAAACCAGGGCUGAUGCUGGGAGUUAAGAAAUAUGGGGAGCCCGUAACGGCAUACGGCGCCCGACCCAUUUUUCGCGGAGACCAAUGUCGGUGGCGGUAUCAUCCCGCUACUGCUUUGGGUGAAACCUGUAUUGCGGCUAAAAGCUGUGUGCAGCGUAGCCUGCCUUGAUCGUGAAACUUGCGGAUCUGAGAUCAGACCUGCCCUCGGUCGGCCGACCGAGACGGUUAUCGCUCAAUGAAACUUUUUUUGCAAAAGAGGCUAGGAAUGGGGAGUUUGCCAAGGAAAGCUUCUAGACUGACGGCAUCCGGGAUUAUAGUGUGGACUCAGUGGUGAUACAGUUCUGCCCACGGCGACGUGGCAGUCGGCGUUUUAAAAGGAAACUGCCUUUUCGGCGACGAGAGGUAAUGCCGGGGGAAAUCUUACUGUACCUUAUGCCGCAAAGUUUACCGGAUGCCUUACCACCGUCAUUUUU